RNAcentral lists this transfer RNA (69 nucleotides) under Sinorhodeus microlepis. Its description in RNAcentral is "tRNA-Ser". The record is from RNAcentral. Lineage: Eukaryota; Metazoa; Chordata; Actinopteri; Cypriniformes; Acheilognathidae.
AAGAAGGGAUAAGAAUCAAUAAGUACUGCUAAUCCUUACAAACCAUGGUUAAAAUCCACGGCCUUCUUA